Camelus ferus (Wild Bactrian camel) is the source of this 73-nucleotide transfer RNA. It matches the Rfam family "tRNA". Rfam says of the family: Transfer RNA (tRNA) molecules are approximately 80 nucleotides in length. The record is from Rfam. NCBI's taxonomy places the organism in Eukaryota, Metazoa, Chordata, Mammalia, Artiodactyla, Camelidae.
GAGGGUACAGCUCAGUGGUAGAGCGUGUGCUUCGCAUGCGUCAAGGUCCAGGGUUCAAUCCCCAGUACCUCUA